RNAcentral lists this long non-coding RNA (2993 nucleotides) under Canis lupus familiaris (dog). RNAcentral describes it as "lncRNA (ENSCAFG00000038294.3)". Lineage: Eukaryota; Metazoa; Chordata; Mammalia; Carnivora; Canidae. The record is from RNAcentral.
CCCAGGUCUGGGGCUGUUGGACCCCGGCCCGGAGCUUCGGCCUCGACCCCGGAGCUGCGCGGCCGAACUGCAUCUGCCGCAGUUCUUUGUGCCUCGGUCCCGCGCGCCCGGGACCUGUCCGCGGGAGGCCGCGCCGGCGAGCCUGGUUUCCUCUCCGAUCUGCAGCCACGGGUCCCCCGGACGGGCCCAUUUCCAUACGGUGUGAUGUGUGCCCUUAAAAGAAAAAAAAAAAAAUCAGAAUUACAAAUAAAGUCGUGCGGGCAAGACUUUUACGCGGAAAGGGGAAUUUCCGCCCAAACGUUGGGGUUGUUACGCUGUUGGAAGUAAGUCUAGAUUUUGCCGUUGUGUUAAUGCCUUUGCAGAGUCUCAUCAGACGCACACACAACUGCCCACCAUUUCCCGGGUUUGGAAAAGAGACCUGCCUCCCCCCCCCCCCCACCCCCUUAAAUGAAAGUGAUGACUCAAUGCUCGAGGGCAGCGCGGGCCCUAACACACAGGCCCUCGCGGCGCGGCGCUCGGGGGAGCCCGAGUUUGGAAAGAAUCGCGCCGGGCCCGUAGGACUUGGCAGAAAAUGUGCCAGGUGGGCAGCCUGCAAGGGGGUAGGGGCAGAGCAAGGAGCCCUGCCUAGAGAUCCACGAGCGCCAGUCGGGGCCUUGGCGGCGGUGGUUCGUGCAUCCUGCACAGGCCGGCGGGCCCCUAGUGUGCAGCAGGAGGCAGGCCGCCCUUCGCUCUCGUGGGGCCGGGGCUCUGCUACUGCCCUUGAGGACUGCAAACAAAUUGGUUAGACUGGCUAACAACGUAAUGCAGAUCCCAGUUCCCUGAGCUGAGAUGACUCUUCACAACCAGCAAGAGUAGAUGUAGAUCUGCUGACUCUUGAGCCUUCUCAGGGCAUUCUAGAAUGCUGCUUUCUUGCGGUUACUGCAGCUGCUCAAAGACCAUGUCACAUCUCUGUGACCCCGACAGUAAAGACAGGGGGACAUCACCGUCUUUCUUCUCACCCGGAAAGACACCUCCCAGUCCAUCUCCUCCAAUUCGGUAAGAUCCUAUCAGUCCUUCAAGUUCCGUUUCAAAUACUCAUCUCCAAAACAUUGGGUAAAGAUGAUGGCAGCAGUGAGACCAUUAAAGAGAACUGAAAGAGCCAAAUGAAGCAGGGGCUGGAAGGAGUUAAAAAAAAAGCAUUUAAAACAUUUGUUUUAGUUUUAAUUUCUAGAUAUGAGAUCCCCAAGUAUAUUUGAUCAUGGGAGUGAUAGUUGUCUUCCAUGGAGAGACCAAGGUUUGUGGAGAAAAAUGAUAGAAUUGAACUGUUAGAAAAGACAUUUGAAGUCAGCUAAUUUCUUCCCCCACCCAGUAUGAUGUCCCUAACAGGGCUUCAAUUCACUUUCUCCCUGAACCCAAAGAGUGACAGGGAACUGCCUCCUGAGCUCUUUCUCAAGAUCAUUCACUCCCCUACUGUCUCUUGCAUUUGUCAAGCAACGCUGCUAUAGUGAAGGAUGCUAUAUUAGUUUGCUAGGGCUGCCGUAGCAAAACACUCCAGACUUGGUGGUCUAAACAAGAGGAAAUUUAUCUUCUCACAGUUCUGCAAGUUGGAAGUCCAAGAUCAAGGUGGCAUCAGGUUUGGUUUCUCAAGGCUUCUCUCUUUGGCUUAUAGAUGGCUGUCCCUUUGCUGCUUUUUCACAGGGUUGUCCCUGUGCAUGAGCACCCAUGAUUUCUCUUCCUCAUCUUAGAACUAGUCCUAUUGGGUUAGUGCCCCACCCUGACAGCCUCAUUUUAUUCAAUCACCUCUUUAAAGACCAUAUUGAGACUGAAGCUCUUGAAGGACAGGAAUCCUGCUUUCUCCAUCUUGGGGUGCCAUAGUUCCUAUCACUCAAUACUCAAAUGAAUCACAACCCAAUGAACUGAAACGCAUCUUUUUAUUCACUGGGCUCUCCUGUUGAAAGCCAAAGCAGGAUCGGAUCGACAAGUUUGGAAAAAUGUGAGAGAAUAUCCUCCUGAUGGUACUUAGACACGUCAGGAUUUUUGCUACUUUGGAACAGGUGAUUUUCCACAUGAUUGAGCACCUGAUCCCAUCAGGUAGGUCUUAAAUGUAUGACUGUCUUUUGAAAUUUCAUACCUACCACUAAUGUGAUGAAUUGUCACUGCAGUUCAAGGGCAUUCAUUUUGGAAAUAGGUGCCAACUGGCCUGUGAUGGUUUCUCAUUUUCAAACAGCUAGGGGCUGAUAAUUGCAGAUAUUUGAUAAAGGCAACAAGUUCACUCUACAUGGUUCAAUGAACUACUCUUUCUAUUCUGUGUAGACAAAUGGUGCUACUGUUUAUUUAUGAUCUAUAGGCAGGUUAUUAUAUUCUAGAUCACUUAUAAUCGAUGAGGCAUACUCUUUCAUUAUUAUUAUUAUUUCUUUGCCCUUCUCACUUAAUGAUAUUUACAAGCUUUUAGGUGUAAUAGGUUCUUAUUUAGCAGCAGAAUAUUUGUCCUGUUUUGACUAAUGAUGCAUUGCUCAGUUUCACCCAUCAUUGACUGCUCAGUUGGUGGAGUCUGCAUCUGGCUUCCCUGUUUCUCAUUAUGUACACUUUCUUCAAAUGUCACAGAUGCCCCUUUAUGUGGGGACACUUUCAUUUUCUCUAUUUGCUUCUGCUUCUGUUCGAUAUUCCUCCUUACUUUUUAUGUCGCUAUUAAUUUUGAAAGGUCAAUUGUUAAGAAUAUGUCUACCUCCAUAAAACAAAUAUUUCAAAGCAUAUAUUAUUUUCAUGUUCACUACUAGUUUUUUUUUUUUUUUUCAUUUGGACCUAAUUAGGUGAAUAUGGAGGAUAAAGGUUGUUCUUAUUAGGCAAAAUAUAGUGGUGAUUACUCUCCUUGGCCUUCAAGUAUCACACAUCUAGAGAUAAGGAGGUAGUCCUCUAUGACUGAGCAUAAGGCCUAAAUACAUUUACCAACUGCAUUCUUGCUUUAAGCCAUAGGAAAUUAGGUUAGUGAUCAAGAGAAGGGCUGGCAGUCAUAG